This 66-nucleotide non-coding RNA is filed under the name Deltaproteobacteria bacterium. Lineage: Bacteria; Pseudomonadati; Myxococcota; Myxococcia. The record is from RNAcentral.
AAGCGAAACCGCCCGCAAGGGCGGUCGCCGGGGCGCGGCGGCCUCGGCCUGAUGAGCAAGCCGUAA